Molecule: unclassified non-coding RNA, 224 nt
Filed under: Hevea brasiliensis (rubber tree)
Lineage: Eukaryota; Viridiplantae; Streptophyta; Magnoliopsida; Malpighiales; Euphorbiaceae
Source: RNAcentral
UUAUGGUUUCGCUGAUAUUAAAAUUGGAUUUUAUAGUGGCGAUCAUGGAGAUGGAGAACCGUUCGAUGGGAUUUUAGGAGUGCUAGCACACUCAUUUUCGCCAGAGAGCGGCAAGUUUCAUCUUGAUGCUGCGGAAACGUGGGCCGUUGAACUCGGAAUGGAGAAAUCAGAGGUUGCAGUAGACUUGGAAUCAGUGGCUAUACAUGAGAUUGGACACUUGUUAG